RNAcentral lists this ribosomal RNA (293 nucleotides) under uncultured bacterium. Its description in RNAcentral is "partial 16S ribosomal RNA". It matches the Rfam family "Archaeal small subunit ribosomal RNA", at positions 455 to 747 of the family's 1478-position model. The record is from RNAcentral.
GUGCUAGCAGCCGCGGUAAUACCGGCAGCCCGAGUGAUGGCCGAUCUUAUUGGGCCUAAAGCGUCCGUAGCCGGCCUCGCAAGUCCGUCGGGAAAUCCAGUAGCUCAACUACUGGGCGUCCGGCGGAAACUACAAGGCUUGGGACCGGAAGGCUCGAGGGGUACGUCCGGGGUAGGAGUGAAAUCCUGUAAUCCCGCACGGACCACCGAUGGCGAAAGCACCUCGAGAAAACGGAUCCGACAGUGAGGGACGAAAGCCAGGGUCUCCAACCGGAUUAGAUACCCGUGUAGUCC